AUGGUAGGCCAGGAGAGACCGUGGGCUGAGUUCGAGAUCAAUGUCUCAGCUGAAUUGCUUGCUGUUUACCGCGCGGCCGUAUUCGUCGAUGUGGGCAACGGUGCAGGCUCGUUCUUCUGGGAAGAUCGUUGGCUACAGGGAAGACGCAUUCAGGAGAUCGCUCCUCGGCUCUACAAUUGUGUCCCUCCCAGGAUCCGGAAAAGCAGGACAGUUGGGGACGCUCUGGCUGGGGCUUGGCCUUUGGAUGUCGGGCCGGAUAUGACCGCGGCCGAGAUCUACGAGUACCUAAACCUAUGGGAGUUGGUUAUGGAGGUGGAGCUAAAUCUGGGCGUGGUGGACAAGGUCAGGUGGGCAUGUGAGACCUCGGGGCAGUACACGGUGAGUUCUGCCUACGCGAGCCGAUACUUUGGACGUGAAAAAGACCUGGCUGCCACCGUAGUGUGGGACUCCAGAGCGUAG
This 459-nucleotide ribosomal RNA is filed under the name Triticum aestivum (bread wheat). RNAcentral's name for it is "partial small subunit ribosomal RNA". Lineage: Eukaryota; Viridiplantae; Streptophyta; Magnoliopsida; Poales; Poaceae. The record is from RNAcentral.